GAUGAACGCUAGCGGCAGGCCUAACACAUGCAAGUCGAGGGGCAGCACAGGUAGCAAUACUGGGUGGCGACCGGCGCACGGGUGAGUAACGCGUAUGCAACCUGCCCGCCACAGGGGGAUAGCCCGCCGAAAGGCGGAUUAAUACCCCAUCGCCCCGUAGUCCGGCAUCGGACCACGGGUAAAGGAGCGAUCCGGUGGCGGAUGGGCAUGCGUGCCAUUAGCUGGUUGGCGGGGUAACGGCCCACCAAGGCGACGAUGGCUAGGGGGUCUGAGAGGAUGGUCCCCCACACUGGUACUGAGACACGGACCAGACUCCUACGGGAGGCAGCAGUGAGGAAUAUUGGUCAAUGGGCGGAAGCCUGAACCAGCCAUGCCGCGUGCAGGAAGACGGCCCUACGGGUUGUAAACUGCUUUUCCGGGGGAAGAAUAAGGCCCACGCGUGGGCCGAUGCCGGUACCCCGGGAAUAAGGAUCGGCUAACUCCGUGCCAGCAGCCGCGGUAAUACGGAGGAUCCGAGCGUUAUCCGGAUUUACUGGGUUUAAAGGGUGCGUAGGCGGGCGCUUAAGUCAGCGGUGAAAUGCGGGGGCUCAACCUUCGAACGGCCGUUGAUACUGGGCGCCUUGGAUUCGGUCGAGGCGGGCGGAAUGCGUGGUGUAGCGGUGAAAUGCUUAGAUAUCACGCAGAACGCCGAUUGCGAAGGCAGCUCGCCGGGCCGAUAUUGACGCUGAGGCACGAAAGCGUGGGGAUCGAACAGGAUUAGAUACCCUGGUAGUCCACGCCGUAAACGAUGAUGGCUGGAUGUUGGCGAUACACCGUCAGCGUCUGAGGGAAACCAUUAAGCCAUCCACCUGGGGAGUACGGCCGCAAGGCUGA
RNAcentral lists this ribosomal RNA (873 nucleotides) under uncultured Bacteroidota bacterium. RNAcentral describes it as "bacterial SSU rRNA". It matches the Rfam family "Bacterial small subunit ribosomal RNA", at positions 28 to 897 of the family's 1533-position model. The record is from RNAcentral. Lineage: Bacteria; Pseudomonadati; Bacteroidota.